Molecule: ribosomal RNA, 503 nt
Filed under: uncultured bacterium
Lineage: Bacteria
Description: bacterial SSU rRNA
Rfam family: Bacterial small subunit ribosomal RNA
Source: RNAcentral
AGAGUUUGAUCCUGGCUCAGGAUGAACGCUAGCGGCAGGCUUAAUACAUGCAAGUCGUGGGGCAGCGCAGGUAGCAAUACUGGGCGGCGACUGGCAAACGGGUGCGGAACACGUACGCAACCUUCCUUUAACUGGAAGAUAGCCCACCGAAAGGUGGAUUAAUACUCCAUAACAUAUUGAAGAGGCAUCUCUUUGAUAUUAAAGCUCCGGCGGUUAAAGAUGGGCGUGCGUCUGAUUAGGUAGUUGGCGGGGUAACGGCCCACCAAGCCUUCGAUCAGUAGCUGAUGUGAGAGCAUGAUCAGCCACACGGGCACUGAGACACGGGCCCGACUCCUACGGGAGGCAGCAGUAAGGAAUAUUGGUCAAUGGACGCAAGUCUGAACCAGCCAUGCCGCGUGGAGGAUGAAGGCCCUCUGGGUUGUAAACUUCUUUUCUUUGGGACGAAACCCCUGUUUCUACGGGGACUGACGGUACCAGAGGAAUAAGCACCGGCUAACUCCGUG